RNAcentral lists this non-coding RNA (29 nucleotides) under Rattus norvegicus (Norway rat). The record is from RNAcentral. Lineage: Eukaryota; Metazoa; Chordata; Mammalia; Rodentia; Muridae.
UCUUGAAGAUUUUCAAUCUUAACAGUGGG